UACGGGGGGGGCAAGCGUUGUUCGGAAUUACUGGGCGUAAAGGGCGCGUAGGCGGUGCUCUAAGUCGGAUGUGAAAACUCUGGGCUCAACCCAGAGCCUGCAUCCGAAACUGGAGUGCUAGAGUUCUGGAGGGGGUAGCGGAAUUCCUGGUGUAGCGGUGAAAUGCGUAGAUAUCUGGAGGAACACCGGUGGCGAAGGCGACAUCCUGGACCGGUAUUGACGCUGAGGCGCGAAAGCCAGGGGAGCAAACGGG
RNAcentral lists this ribosomal RNA (253 nucleotides) under uncultured bacterium. RNAcentral's name for it is "partial 16S ribosomal RNA". It matches the Rfam family "Bacterial small subunit ribosomal RNA", at positions 524 to 776 of the family's 1533-position model. The record is from RNAcentral.